GAUGAACGCUGGCGGCGUGCUUAACACAUGCAAGUCGAACGAAGCACCUCUCCCGAAGAUUGACACAGCUUUCUGUAGAUUGAUUCAUUUGAGGUUACUGAGUGGCGGACGGGUUAGUAACUCGUUGGUAACCUGCCUCAUAGAGGGGGACAACAGUUGGAAACGACUGCUAAUACCUCAUAGUAAGAAUAAUUCUCAUUUUUUCUUCUUUAAAGUUUUAUCGCUAUGAGAUGGACCCGCGUCUGAUUAGCUAGUUGGUAAGGUAACGUCUUACCAAGGCGACGAUAAGGAGACGGCUAGAGAGAGGGAACGGACACAUUGGGAAUGAGAAACGGCAAAAACUCAUACGGGAGGCAGAAGUGGGGAAUAUUGCAAAAUGGGGGAAAACAUGAUGAAGCGACGACGCGUGAGUGAAGAAGUAUUGCGGUAUGUAAAGCUCUAUCAGAAGGGAAGAUAAUGACGGUACCUGACUAAGAAGCACCGGCUAACUACGUG
RNAcentral lists this ribosomal RNA (495 nucleotides) under uncultured bacterium. Its description in RNAcentral is "partial 16S ribosomal RNA". It matches the Rfam family "Bacterial small subunit ribosomal RNA", at positions 28 to 507 of the family's 1533-position model. The record is from RNAcentral.